UACGUAGGGUGCAAGCGUUAAUCGGAAUUACUGGGCGUAAAGCGUGCGCAGGCGGUGAUGUGAAGACAGAUGUGAAAUCCCCGGGCUCAACCUGGGAAUUGCAUUUGAGACUGCGUAGCUAGGGUGCGGAAGAGGGAAGCGGAAUUUCCGGUGUAGCGGUGAAAUGCGUAGAUAUCGGAAGGAACACCAGUGGCGAAAGCGGCUUCCUGGUCCAGCACCGACGUUCAGGCACGAAAGCGUGGGGAGCAAACAGG
RNAcentral lists this ribosomal RNA (254 nucleotides) under uncultured bacterium. Its description in RNAcentral is "partial 16S ribosomal RNA". It matches the Rfam family "Bacterial small subunit ribosomal RNA", at positions 524 to 776 of the family's 1533-position model. The record is from RNAcentral.